UAUUGGUCAAUAGCCUAACGGCUGAACCAGCAACUUGGAGGAAUGGAUAGGGAAAACUGGUAAAAGGUUGGGUACCUACUUGUAUUAGCAAUUAAUAUGAGAUUAACUAAGUUAAUUAAAAUUCAAAGUAGAUAUAUGAUUAUGACAAUUUCUGCUGAGGUCUUGGCCAAGUCACGUGCCAGCAGUCGCGGUAAUACGUGGAAGACAAGUGUUAUUCAUCUUUACUGGGUAUAUAGGGUACCUAGACGGUUAAUUAAGCAAAAAUAUGUACUAAUUAACUAGAGUUUGAUGUAAGAAGGUUUUAGUACAAUGAGUGGAGAGAUAAAAUUCUUUUAUACCAAUUAGGAACUGGUAAAGGCGAAGGCAACUUCUAUGUAAAAACUGACGUUAAGGGACGAAGG
This 401-nucleotide ribosomal RNA is filed under the name Ocellularia pyrenuloides. Its description in RNAcentral is "SSU rRNA". It matches the Rfam family "Bacterial small subunit ribosomal RNA", at positions 362 to 759 of the family's 1533-position model. Lineage: Eukaryota; Fungi; Ascomycota; Lecanoromycetes; Ostropales; Graphidaceae. The record is from RNAcentral.